UAAUAGCCCUGAUUGCAGCGACAUCCUUUUUCUUUUUAGAUUGGCCGAAGUGCUAACGUAGGCAUAUCCUAAAAAGAAAAAGAUAUAGCGAAAAGCGGGAAAUAGC
This 106-nucleotide small RNA is filed under the name Flavobacterium sp. 102. RNAcentral describes it as "Flavo-1 RNA". It matches the Rfam family "Flavo-1 RNA". Lineage: Bacteria; Pseudomonadati; Bacteroidota; Flavobacteriia; Flavobacteriales; Flavobacteriaceae. The record is from RNAcentral.